GGGUGGGGGUGGAGCUUACCGAAGUGACGGACACGUCGGCCGUGGGGCUGUCCGGUUUGGGGCAGGUGUUGAAGUGCUUCCUGAUCUUUCCGGCGACAGACAGCUGGUGCUCGUUCUCCGGCAGGCCCCCGUCCUGAAGGGAGGAGCGGACAGGAGACGCCAGGCACCCGAUUAGCAUACAAGGUGGCCAGGUGGAGGUGGAAGUACAGGUGAAGGUGUAAGUGCGUUCUGCAUGCUGGUGGUACAGGUGAACUCUCCCCUUAUUGUUGAGUGCUUUCAUGCUUAUCAGAUGAAAAAAGCUACAUAAAUUAUUACUGUUAUUAUUAUUGGUAUUGUUAUCAGCCAAUCCUUUACACUGUAGGUCUGUAUUGUAAGGGGGUCCUGUAUUCCAUGCAGUAUGGUAGGUGUCCUGGUAGAUGGCGGCCAUGUUGAGAGCUGUGUGCAGUUCAGUCAGUGUAAGAGGAUAAGAUGGCAGCCAUGUUGACAGCUGUGUGCAGUUCAGUCGGUAAGAGGGUAGGAUGGCGGCCAUGUUGAGAGCCGUGUGUAGUUCAGUCAGUGUAAGAGGAUAGGAUGGCAGCCAUGUUGAGAGCCGUGUGUAGUUCAGUCGGUGUAAGAGGAUAGGAACACUCACAUUGACCCAGGGGUGCUGCAGGACCUGAAGGGCCGUGUAUCUCUGAUCAACCUCCACCUGCAGCAUCGACUGAAUCAGCUCCUGUGGAGGACGAGAGUGUACGCAAGUAUUUAUCUAUAUAUCUGUCUGUCUAUCAGUUGAUUGAUUAUAGAGCACUAUGUUCAAUUUAGUAAUAGCAUUCCAAAGGGACACCAGUCAUUAGUUGUUCAUUUCCACUGUACAUCAGGUCUGAUGUAUUAAAUAAACUUGCAUGUUCAUGUACUUGAAAGUGUGUAGAGACAUACAAGUUGGUCAUCCGAAGAAAGACUACCAAUAUUCCAACUGUAGUCCCAUUGCUGUUUAGAUCCAGAAAGCUUUUUCCCAGUGAGAAAAGGCCAGAAUCUACACGUCUAGAGAGGUGGAAAUUCAGUUUUGUAUGUUUUGACGUAAACGGUCUAGGUUAACCCCAGUAUAGCUCCGGUUUUACUCAGACACAGCCUGGCUAUCUCGGCUAGAAAACUUUUCAAUCAAAUGUAGUCGGGGUUUCCACCAGAGUGCCUAGAUGGUGUUUCACCAGCAGAAUGUUCCCUGGGUUCUAUUGCUAUGCCUGUAAUGCACAACCGGCGCGGGACGGGACACAAAAUGGACGCCGAGGACAGCGAGCUGGGACGCCUACCCCCGGAACGGAGGGAAGCCGCAGAGGAGGAUGUAGGUGAUGACGCCGGCCGCCCAGAUGUCCACCUUAAGGCCGUACCUGCAGAGAGGAACAGACCCGCGCUCAGACGUGGGGCUACAUGACACUGAAUGGGGGGUACAGACACUGAAGGGGCAGUACUGACACGGGCCAGUGGGGUCAGUGAACACUGCAGGUUCAUUCACCCUGCUUAUUAUCACUUCUUGUAUCAGAAGAGGUGCUCUGGCAAUACUGACACGGGCCAGUGGGGUCAGUGAACGUUGCAGGUUCAUUCACACUUUAUUUUCACUCCUUGUAUCUGUUCACGUCCUCGCACUUUCCUUGGCUCCCACCCAACAGAGGAUGUUCAAGGAUGAGAUGGGUGUUCAAGGUUAAGAUUUAUUUAAUUGACCAACACUCACCCGCUCUCUGCAAUAAUCUCUGGUGCUACAUAGGUGGGUGUCCCACACACAGUAUAAAGGGGUCCGUCCACGACAGUGGCUAAGCCGAAAUCGCCAAGCUUGAGGGACUUGCUACCAUCUUGGUGUUCGUAAACCUGAAAUACAAAAAAUGUGUAUAUAUUAUGUUGCUGCUCAACGAUAAUGACACCUUGACUUCAACAUCAAACCCUGUGGCUGGCAGCAUAUACUGCUGUAAAAAAAAAAAAAAAAAAAAACAUUGGAUGUAGAGGGCGAGCCAUCAUACUUGCUACCAAUCUUAUCGUUUAGAGAUCCUAUUUCAUAAUUUUCAUUUUGUGUAUUUUUUCCCCCUCCAUUUAUUAAUUUGUCAGAAAAAAGAGACUAUUAUGUUGAAUUUCACUGUUCAUCCAAUGAUAUUUUAAUGAGAAAUUAUUUAAAUGCAGGUAUUUUCACAUCCACCUGAAUAAAAAAACUUACAUUUUAAAAAUUGUUCCUGUUUUAAAUAUGAGAUGGUAGUCUUUUGUACUUUGCUGUUUCUCCAUUGAAAAAGUAUUAUUUUGCGAAAUGUUAAAAAGGAUUUUCCUUGAUUUCACACUGUUGAGUUUAAUUGUUGAAUAAGUCGGAUUUCGUAUGUAUGUGAUGUAUAAAUAUUGUUUGUCCUUUU
Molecule: long non-coding RNA, 2366 nt
Organism: Anguilla anguilla (European eel)
Lineage: Eukaryota; Metazoa; Chordata; Actinopteri; Anguilliformes; Anguillidae
Exons: 2
Source: RefSeq, a predicted model, not a curated record